Molecule: ribosomal RNA, 440 nt
Filed under: uncultured bacterium
Lineage: Bacteria
Description: partial 16S ribosomal RNA
Rfam family: Bacterial small subunit ribosomal RNA
Source: RNAcentral
CCUACGGGAGGCAGCAGUGGGGAAUAUUGCACAAUGGGGGAAACCCUGAUGCAGCGACGCCGCGUGAGUGAAGAAGUAACUCGUUAUGUAAAGCUCUAUUAGCCGGGAAGAAAAAGACGGCACCUGUGUAAGAAGCACCGUCUAACUACGGGCCAGCAGCCGCGGUAAAACGCAGGGAGCAAGCGUUAUCCGGAUUUACUGGGCGUAAAGGGAGCGUAGACGGCAGGACAAGUCUGGAGUGAAAGGCGGGGGCUCAACCCCCGGACUGCUCUGGAAACUGUACGGCUGGAGUGCAGGAGAGGUAAGUGGAAUUCCUAGUGUAGCGGUGAAAUGCAUAGAUAUUAGGAAGAACACCAGUGGCGAAGGCAGCUUACUGGACUGUAACUGACGUUGAGGCUCGAAAGCGUGGGGAGCAAACAGGAUUAGAUACCCUAGUAGUC